Molecule: ribosomal RNA, 301 nt
Filed under: uncultured bacterium
Lineage: Bacteria
Description: partial 16S ribosomal RNA
Rfam family: Bacterial small subunit ribosomal RNA
Source: RNAcentral
CAGCCGCCGCGGUAAUACGUAGGGUGCGAGCGUUAAUCGGAAUUACUGGGCGUAAAGCGUGCGCAGGCGGUUCGUUAAGACAGAUGUGAAAUCCCCGGGCUUAACCUGGGAACUGCAUUUGUGACUGGCGAGCUAGAGUAUGGCAGAGGGGGGUAGAAUUCCACGUGUAGCAGUGAAAUGCGUAGAUAUGUGGAGGAAUACCGAUGGCGAAGGCAGCCCCCUGGGAUAACACUGACGCUCAUGCACGAAAGCGUGGGGAGCAAACAGGAUUAGAGACCCCAGUAGUCCCUGUCUCUUAUAC